CUGGUUGAUCCUGCCAGUAGUCAUAUGCUUGUUUCAAGGACUAAGCCAUGCAUGCCUCAGAAUAACUGCACUGCAGGAGUCUGCGCAUGGCUCAUUACAUCAGACGCAAUCUGCCGCAAAAAUGUUGCGGAAACGCAUUAUUGGAUACCUUGUGCGAAACGCCAAGCUAAUACAUGAACUAAUGGGAUCGUUCCGUUCCACACGCCGGAGGCUUGCCGAAGGCGUGGUGACCGACCCUGCGGAUGAAUGAAAGUACAAAUCAACGCUUCGCAAGAAGCAGUAUCACUGAGAAGUGCUGAAUCAAUUCAUCUUUGCGUAAGCUGGCCUAGCCAGCGUCUUUUGACGAACAACUGCCCUAUCAGCCAGUGAUGGCCGUGUAGUGGACUGCCAUGGCGUUGACGGGAGCGGGGGAUUAGGGUUCGAUUCCGGAGAGGGAGCCUGAGAAAUGGCUACCACUUCUACGGAGGGCAGCAGGCGCGCAAAUUGCCCAAUGCCAAAACAAAUGAUGAGGCAGCGAAAAGAAAUAGGUGCCCCAAACUCCUAGUGGGUUUGGGGCUUUCAAUGGGGGAUAUUUAACACCAUCCAACAUCGAGUAACAAUUGGAGGGCAAGUCUGGU
RNAcentral lists this ribosomal RNA (617 nucleotides) under uncultured euglenozoan. RNAcentral's name for it is "SSU rRNA". It matches the Rfam family "Eukaryotic small subunit ribosomal RNA", at positions 4 to 565 of the family's 1831-position model. Lineage: Eukaryota; Euglenozoa. The record is from RNAcentral.